GCCAUAGCUCAGUGGUAGAGCAUCUGCUUUGCAUUCAGAAGGUCCCAGGUUCAAUCCUCAGCAUCUCACA
Molecule: transfer RNA, 70 nt
Filed under: Podarcis lilfordi (Lilford's wall lizard)
Lineage: Eukaryota; Metazoa; Chordata; Lepidosauria; Squamata; Lacertidae
Description: tRNA.Ala
Source: RNAcentral